Molecule: ribosomal RNA, 293 nt
Filed under: uncultured bacterium
Lineage: Bacteria
Description: partial 16S ribosomal RNA
Rfam family: Bacterial small subunit ribosomal RNA
Source: RNAcentral
AUUCCCUACGGGAGGCAGCAGUGAGGAAUAUUGGUCAAUGGGCUUACGCCUGAACCAGCCAAGUCGCGUGAGGGAAGACUGCCCUAUGGGUUGUAAACCUCUUUUGUCAGGGAGCAAGGUGCAGGUCGGGACCUGCUGUGAGAGUACCUGAAGAAAAAGCACCGGCUAACUCCGUGCCAGCAGCCGCGGUAAUACGGAGGAUGCGAGCGUUAUCCGGAUUUAUUGGGUUUAAAGGGUGCGCAGGCGGAGGCACAAGUCAGCGGUAAAAUCGCGGGGCUCAACCCCGCUCCGCC